RNAcentral lists this ribosomal RNA (625 nucleotides) under Lacticaseibacillus rhamnosus. RNAcentral's name for it is "bacterial SSU rRNA". It matches the Rfam family "Bacterial small subunit ribosomal RNA", at positions 126 to 737 of the family's 1533-position model. The record is from RNAcentral. Lineage: Bacteria; Bacillati; Bacillota; Bacilli; Lactobacillales; Lactobacillaceae.
CUGCCCUUAAGUGGGGGAUAACAUUUGGAAACAGAUGCUAAUACCGCAUAAAUCCAAGAACCGCAUGGUUCUUGGCUGAAAGAUGGCGUAAGCUAUCGCUUUUGGAUGGACCCGCGGCGUAUUAGCUAGUUGGUGAGGUAACGGCUCACCAAGGCAAUGAUACGUAGCCGAACUGAGAGGUUGAUCGGCCACAUUGGGACUGAGACACGGCCCAAACUCCUACGGGAGGCAGCAGUAGGGAAUCUUCCACAAUGGACGCAAGUCUGAUGGAGCAACGCCGCGUGAGUGAAGAAGGCUUUCGGGUCGUAAAACUCUGUUGUUGGAGAAGAAUGGUCGGCAGAGUAACUGUUGUCGGCGUGACGGUAUCCAACCAGAAAGCCACGGCUAACUACGUGCCAGCAGCCGCGGUAAUACGUAGGUGGCAAGCGUUAUCCGGAUUUAUUGGGCGUAAAGCGAGCGCAGGCGGUUUUUUAAGUCUGAUGUGAAAGCCCUCGGCUUAACCGAGGAAGUGCAUCGGAAACUGGAAAACUUGAGUGCAGAAGAGGACAGUGGAACUCCAUGUGUAGCGGUGAAAUGCGUAGAUAUAUGGAAGAACACCAGUGGCGAAGGCGGCUGUCUGGUCUGU